GCCACGUCCCCGCCCCGGCCCGGCGCUGGCGCGGUUGGCUGGCCGGCGGGCGGCGCGGGACUGGGUGUGGCCGCGGCUCGGGAACGGCAGUUCGCUGGUUCUGCGUGCCGGCCCGCGCCCCGGGGCUGCUGAGCGCCCAGCGGACACGGGCUGUGCACGGUGGACGCGGCCGAGCUCCCUCCAGCUGCUUUCACUUGUUAAUUCCUGAGGGAAAUAGAUUCAAAAGAUGAGUGAACUGGAACAGUUGAGGCAGGAAGCAGAGCAACUGCGGAAUCAGAUCCAGGAUGCUAGGAAAGCAUGUAAUGAUGCAACACUUGGUCAGAUCACAUCAAAUAUGGACUCUGUGGGCCGAAUACAGAUGCGGACAAGACGUACCCUGAGGGGCCACCUUGCCAAAAUCUACGCCAUGCACUGGGGGUAUGAUUCCAGGCUACUAGUCAGUGCUUCCCAAGAUGGAAAAUUAAUUAUUUGGGAUAGCUAUACAACAAAUAAGAUGCACGCGAUUCCUCUGAGGUCCUCCUGGGUGAUGACUUGCGCCUACGCUCCUUCUGGUAAUUAUGUUGCAUGUGGAGGCUUGGACAACAUCUGCUCCAUAUAUAACUUAAAGACCAGAGAGGGAAAUGUGCGCGUGAGCCGAGAGCUGCCGGGGCACACAGGCUACUUGUCCUGCUGUCGUUUCUUAGAUGACAGCCAAAUUGUUACAAGUUCAGGAGAUACGACUUGUGCUUUAUGGGACAUCGAAACUGCCCAGCAGACUACCACGUUCAAUGGGCAUUCUGGAGAUGUGAUGAGCCUUUCUCUAAGUCCUGACAUGAGGACUUUUAUGUCUGGUGCUUGUGACGCCUCUUCCAAAUUGUGGGAUAUUCGAGAUGGAAUGUGUAGACAGUCUUUCACAGGACAUGUCUCAGAUAUUAAUGCUGUCAGUUUUUUCCCAAAUGGAUAUGCCUUUGCCACUGGCUCUGAUGAUGCCACUUGCCGGCUCUUUGACCUACGUGCAGACCAAGAGUUACUGUUGUAUUCUCAUGACAAUAUCAUCUGUGGAAUCACUUCUGUAGCCUUCUCCAAAAGUGGGCGCCUCCUGUUAGCUGGUUACGAUGACUUUAAUUGUAACGUCUGGGACACGCUAAAAGGAGAUCGUGCAGGUGUCCUUGCUGGUCAUGACAACCGUGUCAGCUGCUUAGGGGUGACUGAUGAUGGCAUGGCUGUGGCAACAGGCUCUUGGGACAGUUUUCUUAGAAUCUGGAAUUAACAGUGUCAUCUGUAUUUUCUGCUCUCCAUUGCCAGUCUGGAGAAAUCAAUAUUACAGCCUAUAGCUGUGAAAAAAAAUUCUACCUUAUAUUUGCAGAUCAAUCCAAAUGAUUGACAAUAGAAGAUUGUUAGUCUGCUGUUGGCGGAGCCAUGGAUUGUUCUGAUACGUGGUAGUACAUUGUGUUUUGUAAUUUAGUAAGUUAUAGGUCUGUGUUAACCUUUGAUCACCUAUAACCUAUUCUAAACAAUCCCAAAUUUUACUUGUAAUUUUUUUUCUUUUUUAGCAUUUGAAAAUAAAAUAGUUUUUCAUUUUUAUAUUGUGAAUGUGCUAAUACAUAAUGAAGUCAUUGUCAGUUUAAUUAAGGCCAGUUGAUAAUUAGAAUAAAGAGGUUAAAGGCAAAUUAAGAUAUAGGCCCAAAACAGAAUAUUAUAGAUGGCAGUUACGAAUGUAUAUUUGUAUUUUGAUUAAGAUUUCUGUGAACUUUUUGCUUUUAGUGUUUAUUUGUGCGCUAUUUGUAUAACUUCAUAAAGAGCAGCUCUUUGAAGUAAGUCAAGAAUAUUUUAAAGGAACAUAUUCAUUUCUCAAAAAAGUAGGGGGGUCAAUUGAAGUUUGCCAUGUAGUUGAGCACCUUGAUUCUUAAAUCCUGUUCCAGAAAGAACUCCUAAUAUGUAUAAAAAUAAUCAUAUAUGAGUUAUCUCCUCUACUUAAUAAAAGUUAUUGUAGUAGCAAGAUACUUUAGGCAGAGGCAUACAGACCCUAAGAAUUCCAUGAUAUUAACAUUUUAAAAUGACAUUUAUUUUAAUGUCAUUAAAGCUUAUUAGGCUAGUUGAAAGCAAUUUCCUUAAAUAUGUACUAGGUAACUGAAAACCCCUAUUGAAUACUUGUGGCUAAUUAUACAUCUGACCAGCUACCACAUUAACAAUCUUACUAGUUAAACCUUUGCUUUCUGGUGAUAGUAGAUCCAAUUGGUAAAUACAUUUGUUUAUUUGAAAAUGAAUGUACUCAUUGAAAAUGUAUUCACUCAGUGGAAUUGAGCUAAUUAUCUAUUUAAUUCUAUUUUUGUGCAUAAGACUUCCUGAAAUAGAGUAUAUAAUUUGUAGAGAAGUUGUAUGCAGAAGGUGCCAAAAAGGUAUGCAUAUUUUAACAAAGGAAAAAACUAUUAAAAUGGUAAUACUCAGGAUAUACUGAUGAUAAAAGAUGAAUACACAUAGAAGUCGCAUUUGAGCACCACUUGGAAUUGUAGAAGUCAAAUGUGACUUGAGCAUUACAAUUUUAAUACAGUUUUUUCCUUUCUUAAACUGUGUAUACUUUUUUUUGGCAACCUCUGUGGUUUUCAGAUCUUAGUUUUUCAAGACUAAAAAUAUGGCUACAUUUAGUGUCAAAGGAUUUGUAUCAUCAAAAAUACUGUAUUUAUCUGGUCCCAAUUAAUUUUUCUUCUUUAUAAGGAGUAUUUAAACAUAACGUGCCUCUGCAGGUUGAUCUAUAGACUCCAUCACAUCAGAAAGAAUAUUUCAGAGGUAUACAUUCUUUCCUAAAAUAUGAUCACCAUGACAUUCUUUCCUAAAAUGUGAUCACCAUGAGGUUUAACAAAUCAACCCAAAAACCCACUCAAGAAGGCAAUUUUUAUCCAGGUGUGGUGGCUCACACCUGUAAUCUUAGCAAUUUGGGAGGCUUAGGCAGUUAGACAGCUUGAGGUCAGAAGCUCAAGACAAGCCUUAGCAAGAGUGAGACUCCUCUACAAAAAAUAGAAAAAUCAGCUGGGCAUGGUAACAUGCACCUGUUGUUUCAGCUACUUGGGAGCCUGAGGCAGGAGGAUCACUUGAACCCAGGAGUGAGUUGCAGUGAGUGAGCUAUGAUGACGCCACUGUACUCUAGCCAGAAUGACAAAGCGAGAUCCUGUCUCACAUUAGCAAGAAUUGCUUUCUUUCUUUUUUUUUUUUAAAUCAAUAAGGAAGUCUCCUCCACUUUGAUGGACACAUCUCAUUUUUGGUAGCCAUAAUGUUAAGAGAUUUAGACUCAAUAUCCAAGGUUCCUCCCUACUCAAAUUUUUAAUUGUGAUUGCAUAUACCAUAUUGAAUUCCAUCUUCACAGAGCCAAAGCUUUGGACUUUAUAUCUCAACAGUAAGAGAGCAAUUCUCUUCAGGUUAGACUCAGAUGAACUGACUAAUAUUACAUAAUGAUGUAUGUUGUCUCCUUGAAAUAAUGGAUGUAGAUGAUUCCAAAAUGUUACAGAAUUGUGAAGUUAACCUAUUAAAAGAGAAAUGGAUCCUGAUUUCUCCAGCUGAGACAAUGAAACUUUUGCUUAAAAACGCUGUCAAUAUUGCAGUUGAGUUUCUCCAACACUUUUGAUAUUUUAGACUUAAUAACAAAUUAAGACUGUGUUUUGAAAGUGAAAAUAUUCAGGGAGAUUUAUGCUUUGAUGAGAAUGUCUCAGAUAUCAAAUUAUAAUACAGUUGAAUACUCUGGUUUAUUGUUGAUGUUUUAAAGUUUGAGAAACUGAUGACAGAAUCUUUCCAAAGAGCUUGUAACUUUUUUUUUUUUUUUUGCAGUAUUUGGCCAGGGCUGGGUUUUUGAACCCACCACCUCCGGUAUAUGGGGCCGGCACCCUACUCCUUUGAGCCACAGGCACUGCCCUGAGCUUGUAACAUUUUAAUAGUAAAGAUGUUAUAAAAUUUUCAGGGUCUGACUCAGGCUUUAAAAAAUUUUUGCCAUUUGCCAUCAUAAGCAAAAAUUUAAAUUACUUCUUGUUAACCUGUUAGACCAGCAGUUCUCAACCUAUGGGUUGCAACCCCUUUGUAACAAAAUACAUCCUGCAUAUCAGAUAUUUACAUUACAAUUCAUAACAGUAGCAAAAUUACAGUUAUGAAGUAGCAACAAAAAUAAUUUUAUGGUUGGGGGUCACCACAACAUGAACUGUAUUAAAGGGUUGUGGCAUUAGGAAGGUUGAGAACCACUGCGCUAGACUAUCUUAUGGAUAGUACAAGGAAUAAAACUUUUAUUUUUUUUAGAGUAUAGUCUUACUGUGUCACCCAGGCUGGACUGUAGUGGUGCACUCCUAGCUCACUGCAGCCCCCACCUUCUGAGAUCUAGUGAUCCUCCUGCUCCAGUCUGCCAAGUAGCUAGGCCUACAGGCCUAUGCCACCAUGCCCAGCUAAUUUUUAAAUUUUUUUGUAGAGACAGGGUCUAUCAGUAUGUUCUUAGGCUAGCCUCCUGAGCUUCAGCAGUCCUCCCACCUUGGCCUCCCAAAAUGCUUGGGAUUACAGGUGGUGAGGCAGCGUGCUCAGCCAAAAUUGCUAUUUUGAAUUGGAUUAAGUAGAACGUGAAGUCCACUAGUUUUCCUUACACUGUUCAUUUUGAAUUGCUUCAGAGUCAUUGUAUAUUUAAAACAUUGGUUACAGUAAUAGGUACUCAUUAAAAUGGUUUACAGUAGAAUGUCUAAGCUAGCAUUUUGUUUAAAAAGUAAUUUAUUGGGUGGCACCUGUGGUCAAGUGGGUAGGGCGCCGGCCCCAUAUGCUCGAGGUGGCAGGUUCAGACCCAGCCCCGGCCAAAAAAAAUAAAAUAAAAAGUAAUUUAUUAAUCACAAAUUAGUGGUACACCUUAUAUUUAGGAAAUGUUUGCAUGUUAGUAAAUUUUCCUUUUUCCCUAAAUCUAAUUACUGACUUUGUAAAAACUAGUUAUAAUGCAGCAUUAUGGAAGAACUUAUGUUUAAACUGGUGUUACAUGCACCCAACAAAAUCUCCUAUCACACGGUAUCUCAAUUAGUAGGGCUCAGUGACAUGCUUGGUAGACACUUCAGCCUAUUCUGUCUUUCACACAAUGGUGCUCUAUCCUAUUGUUUUCUCUUUUCAAAGAAGUAUCUGGACACUUGCAUUUGCAUUUUCUUAUCCAAAGACAUCCACAUCUAAGUGUGUUUUAAGUUGAUUAAAAUAUUUUUCUGGUAAAGCAUUCUAAAAAUCUUUUCCUUCACCUAGAAUGGUUUCUACAUACUUGUGGGCCAACUGACUAUGACUGUUAGUAGUAUGUCUAAUUACAGGAAAGGUAAACAUACUAAAGCUCUUGCAAGUUUUAAACCAUUAACACCAACUAUGGACUUAUACCUGAUUUUACAGCAUUCUUGGAUCUUUCUUACAGAGUGAUUCAUUCCUUUAUUUGUAUCGUGGCUUUGUGAAAUACUGUUGCUGUGAAUUGGUAUUAUAAUCAAUAAAGUGCUUUUAACCAGAUUUUACUGUGUUAAUCUGCUUUUUACCAGAUUAACAUUGUACUGUGUUUUUAAGUACAUUUUUAGUAGGAUUAUUUUUAAAAUCAUGCC
Nycticebus coucang (slow loris) is the source of this 5558-nucleotide RNA transcript. It is a transcript of the gene named G protein subunit beta 4, with no coding region annotated. The transcript is spliced from 11 exons. The record is from RefSeq and is a predicted model, not a curated record. Lineage: Eukaryota; Metazoa; Chordata; Mammalia; Primates; Lorisidae.